Long non-coding RNA from Manis pentadactyla (Chinese pangolin), 4504 nucleotides. RefSeq lists it as uncharacterized. The transcript has 2 exons. The record is from RefSeq and is a predicted model, not a curated record. NCBI's taxonomy places the organism in Eukaryota, Metazoa, Chordata, Mammalia, Pholidota, Manidae.
CUUGAUCCAUAUUUAAUCUUAUAAAACUUACACACUGAAAGAAGUAAAUUCUCAUACCCAAGUUGUUUGAAACAUCCUUAAAAGUUUUCCAGUAAUUGAACUGAGUAAUGGUUUUAAGCUAAAAUUAAAAUUAACUAAUAGUAAAAAUUCAAUCCUUCAGUCACACUAGCUGCAUUUCAAGUACUCAGUAGCAACAUUUGGCCAGUGGCUACCAUAUUAGACAGCAAGACUUGUAGAAUGACUAAUAUGUUCAGUAAUUUAGUGAAUGCUCAAUAUUCAAUAAAUAUUUUUCUCCCCAAAGGGCAGAGAUGGAAAGAAGUAUGCUUGACUCUCCCUUCAGAUAGAUGGUUUGAAUGAUAGUUUUCAGUUGUUGUGUGUGACUACAUCUUCAGGGGCAAGUUGGCAUGAGAAGACCUGAGAUCCUGAUAAAAUGGACCCAGCACCGCCUAUCUGAGAUUUACUGAUGGAGGCAUGAAGACCAAGGAGCCUUAUGGACUUUUCUCACUUACCUGUUAAUCUAAAAAUAUUUCAUACCAAUGUUCAUCACAACUGGUUACUAGAAUUUGUAGGUCUGGACAAAGGAUGUGCAAAGUUUUCCACUUCUCUGACCCUUGAUUAGCCUGUUCACUAUCACCAAGGUAUUAUCAUUAGGUUCUGUCCACAUUUGCUAUGUUUUCUCAGUGUACUAAUAGUUGGUCUUUUAACUGACCUUAAUAUAUUAUUGGUUGAAUUCAUAGUCCAUGUUACCUUAAUAUAGGGAAGACUAUAUGGGGAUUCCCAGAUUCUAGAAACCAAAAUAGUAAAUUUUAAUUGCUCUUAAGAUAGGGAUUUUCCAAUCUGGACUUUCAAUAAAGGGAGUUCUUAUAAUUUUCAAAGACUACUGAAGAUAACUUUUGAGAAUAUGAAGAAGAAACAUAAAGAUGAAUCAAGUAAAGUAAUGAUGCAUUUAGUAAUUAUUCAGUGAAUUGGGAAUUUCAGGUCAUUUCUGCCAAACAAGCAAAAAUUGUUAGAAGUGAGGCUUCACAUAUAUUUCCCUAUUCUAUGCAAAGGUACAGAAUAGUAUGCCAUAAAUACCCAGGAAGUUAACCCUUUCCUGUUGCAGAAAUGGCAGUUUGCUCAGCAUGGGCCUAGAGAGUAUUCUAGUAUUCUAGGCUGUCUUGAAGUCCAUCUUUUGUUUCUGGGCCAAAGUUGGAGGCCAAGUUUGGUGUGCUCCUUCCCAUCCCUACCUCUUUUGGUUUAAAUGCAAGUUUUACACUGUCUGGAAUGUUUCAAAUAAUUAUUUUCCCUGUCUGGAAUGUUUCAAAUAAUGAUGGCCAGCUCAACAUGGUAAGAAAUAACUGUUGGUGAGCAUAUAGAAAAAAGGAAACCUUUGUCCACUGUUGAUGGGAAUGAUUAACAACUGUUGAUAUUUAUUGAGCACAUACUAUGCUCUGGGUUCUUUAUGCGUUAUCUCCUUUGAUUUUUGCUCAAUCCUUUGGACUAGGUACAUUUAUUAUUAGGGUUUUGGAGAUAUUGAACCUGAAGCUUAAAUAUUUAAUGAAUCUUCCAAGGUGAUCUAGCUAAAAGUUAUGGUAAAUGAUUCUAUUUAAUUUCAUGCAUUUCAUUAUUAGGAAGAGAGAAAUGCUGAGGAAUUUUGGUCUCUUGAAGCCUCCUAUCCUAUGAUUUGGUUAGUCUGCACCUUAAUGAGAUUUAUUAUAUGUAUAUUGGUUUUUUCUCAAACUAAAAUUAGAGUAUCAAACAUUUUAAAUAACAAAUUAGCAGUCAAAUUAAGAAAAUCCCAUUUAUAGUUGCAUCAAAAAGAAUUAAAUACUUAGGAAUAACUUUAACCAAGAAGAACAAAGACCUGUACUCUGAAAAUUUUGACAUUGCUGGAAGAAAUUGAAGAUGACAGAAAUAAAUGGAAAAAUAUACCAUACUCAUAGGUUGGAAGAAUUAAUGUUUUUUUUUCCUUUUAAAAAAUCCAUUUAUUUAUUUGUUUGUUUGUUUGAUAUCAUUAAUGUACAAUUACUUGAACAACAUUAUGGUUACUAGACUCCCCCUAUUAUCAAGUCCCCACCACAUAACCCAUUACAGUCACUGUCCAUCAGCAUAGUAAGAUGCUAUAGAAUCAUUGCUUCUCUUCUCUGUAGAUACUGCCUUUCCGUGUCCACCCUGCUACAUUAUGGGUGCUAAUUUUUAACACCCCAUUUUUCCUCCUUAUCCCUCCCUUCCCACCCAUCCUCCCCAGUCCCUUUCCCUUUGGUAGUUAGUCCAUUCUUGGGUUCUGUAAGUCUGCUGCUGUUUUGUUCCUUCAGUUUUUUCUUUGUUCUUAUACUCCACAGAUGAGUGAAAUCAUUUGAUACUUGUCUUUGUCCGCCUGGCUUAUUUCACUGAGCAUAAUACCCUCUAGCUCCAUCCAUGUUGUUGCAAAUGGUAGGAUUUGUUUUCUUCUUAUGGCUGAAUAAUAUUCCAUUGUGUAUAUGUAUCACAUCUUCUUUAUCCAUUCAUCUACUGAUGGACACUUAGGUUGCUUCCAUUUCUUGGCUAUUGUAAAUAGUGCUGCGAUAAACAUAGGGGAGGUGCAUAUGUCUUUUUCAAACUGGGCUACUGUAUUCUUAGGGGAAAUUACUAGGAGUGGAAUUCCGUGGUCAAAUGGUAUUUCUAGUUUUAGUUUUUUGAGGAACCUCCAUACUGCUUUCCACAAUGGUUGAACUAGUUUACAUUCCCACCAGCAGUGUAGGAGGGUUUCCCUGGAAGAAUUAAUGUUUAAGUUGGCCAUACCACCAGGAAUCCACAGAUUCAAUAUAAUCCCUAUCAAAUUCCAGUGGCAUUUUUCUAAGAAAUAGACAGAUGGAAUUCUAGAAAAUUAGAAUUAAUCCUAAGAUUUGUAUGGAACCACAAAAGACCCCGAAUAGCGAAAGCAAUUUUGGGAAAGAAAGAACAAAGCUGAAGGUAUCAUGUUCCCAGAAUUCAAACUACCACUACAAAGCUAUAAUAAUAAAAACAUUUUGGUAUUGUCAUAAAAACAGAUACAUAGAUCAAUAGAAUUGACCAGAACCCAGAAAUAAACCCAUGCUAUGGUUAAUUACAGCAAAGGAGGCAAAAAUAUAUAAUAAGGAAAAGACAAUCUCUUCGAUAAAUGGUGCUAAGAAAACUGGACAGCUUUAUGCAAAAGAAUGAAACUGGACCACUGUCUUACACCAUACACAAAAAUAAGCCCAAAAUGCAGUAAAGACCUAAAUGUAAGAUCUGAAACCUUAAAAUUCCUAAAAGAAAACAUAGGCAAUAAACUCUUAGACAUCAGCCUUGGCAACUUUUUUUUGGAUACAUCUUCCCAAGCUAGAGAAAAUAUACAAAAGUAAAUAAAUGGGAUUAUAUAAAAUUAAAAGGCUUCUGCACAGGAAGGAACCAUCAACAAAAUAAAAAGGCAAUCUAUGUAGGAGAAUAUAUUUUCAGGUUAUAUAACCAAUAAGGGGUUAAUGUCCAAAAUAUAUAAACAGCUAAUACUACUCAAAAAAACUAAUAAUCCAAUUGAAAAAUGGGCAGAGGAACUGAAUAGACAUUUUUCCAAAGAAGACAUACAGAUUGCCAACAGACUAUGAAAAGAUGCUUUACCUCACAAAUCAUAAGGGAAAUGCAAAUCAAACCCACAAUGAGUUAUUUCAUAUUAGUCAUGAUGGCCAGCUCAACAUGGUAAGAAAUAACUGUUGGUGAGGAUAUAGAAAAAAGGGAACCUUUAUGCACUGUUGAUGGAAUGUUAAAUGGUGCAGCCACUAUGGAAAACAGUAUGGAGGUUCUUCAAAAAGUUAAAUAUGGAAAUAUCAUAUAUCCCAGUAAUUCCACUUCUGGUUAUUUACCUGAAGGAAACAAAAACACUAAUCCUAAAAGACAUUUGCACCCCUAUGUUUAUUGAAGCAUUAUUUACAGUAGCCAAUAUAUGAAAAUGACCUAAGUGUCCUUCAGUGGAUGAAUGGAUAAAGAAGAUGUGAUGCAUAUACAAAAUGGAAUAUUACUCAGCAAUAAAAAGAGUGAAAUCUUGUCAUUUGCAAAAGUAUGGACCUUAGAGGCUAUUAUACUAAGUGAAAUAAUUCAGACAAAGAAAAAUACCAUAUGACUUCACUUAUGUGGAGUAAAAGACGAAACAAACAAAAAUAGACUCAUAAGUACAGAGAACAAAUUGGUGGUUGCCAUAGUGGGGGUGGCAGGGAUGAAUGAAAUAGCUGAAGGAGAGAAAGAGGUACAAACUUCCAAUUAUAUAAAAAAAAUAUUUAAAAGGAUUGAAAAAUACAGCAUGGAAAAUAUAGUCAAUAAUAUUGUGAUAACUUUGUAUGGCAAUCAAUGAUAACUAUACUUAUUGUGGUAAGCAUUUCAUAAUAUAUAUUAUUGUCAAAUCACUGUUACAUACCUGAAAUUAAUAUAAUAUUGUAUGUCAACUAUAUUUGAAUUAAAACAUUUUAUAUGUAAGCAGAAGUUCCUCUAAGCAUAAUUAUUUGCUCUAAUAAAAACUGAAUUAUUAUAAAAAUCA